CAGGCUUAACACAUGCAAGUCGAGGGGCAGCAUGGUCUUAGCUUGCUAAGGCCGAUGGCGACCGGCGCACGGGUGAGUAACACGUAUCCAACCUGCCGUCUACUCUUGGACAGCCUUCUGAAAGGAAGAUUAAUACAAGAUGGCAUCAUGAGUCCGCAUGUUCACAUGAUUAAAGGUAUUCCGGUAGACGAUGGGGAUGCGUUCCAUUAGAUAGUAGGCGGGGUAACGGCCCACCUAGUCUUCGAUGGAUAGGGGUUCUGAGAGGAAGGUCCCCCACAUUGGAACUGAGACACGGUCCAAACUCCUACGGGAGGCAGCAGUGAGGAAUAUUGGUCAAUGGGCGAGAGCCUGAACCAGCCAAGUAGCGUGAAGGAUGACUGCCUUAUGGGUUGUAAACUUCUUUUAUAAAGGAAUAAAGUCGGGUAUGGAUACCCGUUUGCAUGUACUUUAUGAAUAAGGAUCGGCUAACUCCGUGCCAGCAGCCGCGGUAAUACGGAGGAUUCGAGCGUUAUCCGGAUUUAUUGGGUUUAAAGGGAGCGUAGAUGGAUGUUUAAGUCAGUUGUGAAAGUUUGCGGCUCAACCGUAAAAUUGCAGUUGAUACUGGAUAUCUUGAGUGCAGUUGAGGCAGGCGGAAUUCGUGGUGUAGCGGUGAAAUGCUUAGAUAUCACGAAGAACUCCGAUUGCGAAGGCAGCCUGCUAAGCUGCAACUGACAUUGAGGCUCGAAAGUGUGGGUAUCAAACAGGAUUAGAUACCCUGGUAGUCCACACGGUAAACGAUGAAUACUCGCUGUUUGCGAUAUACGGCAAGCGGCCAAGCGAAAGCGUUAAGUAUUCCACCUGGGGAGUACGCCGGCAACGGUGAAACUCAAAGGAAUUGACGGGGGCCCGCACAAGCGGAGGAACAUGUGGUUUAAUUCGAUGAUACGCGAGGAACCUUACCCGGGCUUAAAUUGCAGAUGAAUUACGGUGAAAGCCGUAAGCCGCAAGGCAUCUGUGAAGGUGCUGCAUGGUUGUCGUCAGCUCGUGCCGUGAGGUGUCGGCUUAAGUGCCAUAACGAGCGCAACCCUUGUUGUCAGUUACUAACAGGUUCUGCUGAGGACUCUGACAAGACUGCCAUCGUAAGAUGUGAGGAAGGUGGGGAUGACGUCAAAUCAGCACGGCCCUUACGUCCGGGGCUACACACGUAUUACAAUGGGGGGUACAGAGGGCCGCUACCACGCGAGUGGAUGCCAAUCCCAAAAACCUCUCUCAGUUCGGACUGGAGUCUGCAACCCGACUCCACGAAGCUGGAUUCGCUAGUAAUCGCGCAUCAGCCACGGCGCGGUGAAUACGUUCCCGGGCCUUGUACACACCGCCCGUCAAGCCAUGGGAGCCGGGGGUACCUGAAGUGCGUAACCGCGAGGAGCGCCCUAGGGUAAAACUGGUGACU
RNAcentral lists this ribosomal RNA (1429 nucleotides) under uncultured organism. Its description in RNAcentral is "16S ribosomal RNA". It matches the Rfam family "Bacterial small subunit ribosomal RNA". The record is from RNAcentral.